GGGGCUGAUUAUUGGUUUCGACUUCGUCGAUUGAGCCAGGGGAAGCGUGCCGGUGCAGGCUGGAGACCACCGUAAGCGUCGCAGCAACCUGAUAAGCGCCGAGAACACUCAGCGCGACUACGCCCUCGCUGCCUAAAGCGAGCGCGUGUCUGUCAGCCCGGAUACGUCCCUGAUCCGGAGUCUGGCAUCGACUAAGGGACUUGCCGCCGGGUCGCGUCAGCGGGGCCCGGCGGGACUUCCACCGCUGACUGGGCCCGUCAUCCGGACGUGUUCGCCUGAUCCGGAGGGCCGAGCAGAGACUCCGCGCGAACUGCGCACGGAGAAGCCCUGGCGAGGUGGCGAAGGACCCGGGUUCGAGUCCCGGCAGCUCCACCG
RNAcentral lists this transfer-messenger RNA (375 nucleotides) under Corynebacterium frankenforstense. RNAcentral's name for it is "Standard tmRNA". It matches the Rfam family "transfer-messenger RNA". From Rfam's summary of the family: Bacterial tmRNA, also known as 10Sa RNA or SsrA, is named for its dual tRNA and mRNA-like properties. Its role is to liberate the mRNA from a stalled ribosome. To accomplish this part of the tmRNA is used as a reading frame that ends in a translation stop signal. Lineage: Bacteria; Bacillati; Actinomycetota; Actinomycetes; Mycobacteriales; Corynebacteriaceae. RNAcentral also lists the same sequence under 1 other name. The record is from RNAcentral.